RNAcentral lists this ribosomal RNA (777 nucleotides) under uncultured Neocallimastigales. RNAcentral describes it as "partial large subunit ribosomal RNA". It matches the Rfam family "Eukaryotic large subunit ribosomal RNA", at positions 22 to 646 of the family's 3401-position model. The record is from RNAcentral. Lineage: Eukaryota; Fungi; Neocallimastigomycota; Neocallimastigomycetes; Neocallimastigales.
CUAUACAUGACUCUGCGCAUAUCAAUAAGCGGAGGAAAAGAAACUAACAAGGAUUCCCUUAGUAACGGCGAGUGGAGCGGGAAGAGCUCAAAUUUGAAAUCUUCAAGGUUCUACCUUGACGAAUUGUAGUUUAUAGAAGUGUUUUCUGUUAGUAGGAGUGGCAAAAGUUCUUUGGAAUAGGACAUCAUAGAGGGUGAGAAUCCCGUAUUUGGUCAUUCCUUCCUAGCUUUGUGAUACACUUUCAACGAGUCGGAUUGUUUGGGAAUGCAGUCCAAAAUGGGUGGUAAAUUUCAUCUAAAGCUAAGUAUUGGCGAGAGACCGAUAGCGAACAAGUACCGUGAGGGAAAGAUGAAAAGAACUUUGAAAAGAGAGUUAAACAGUACGUGAAAUUGUCAAAAGGGAAGCGUUUGACACCAGUGUUGUUUUUCCGAAAGUCAAUUACGAAUGUUUUGUUUUUGAGGAAGUUAUGACUUCAUCGGCUUGCUCCUUUCUUUAUGAAACUUUCUUAAUGCACUUUUCGGUUAACAAGUCAACAUCAAUUUCUUUUGUUGUAAAAGGGUAUGAGGAAGGUGGCUUUCUUUUCGGAGAAAGUGUUUAUAGCCUUGUGCCUCUACAAUCGGAGAGAUUGAGGUCUGCAGCGUAGAUCCUUCGGGGUUAGAUACGUUUGUGCUAAGUUAUAGCUUUUCAUAGACAACUUGUUGACUAUGUUUAGUCUUGUAGCUUACUCGCUGACGCUAUUUUACCUACGCUUAGGAUGUUGACGAUCAGCUGAGCGCG